UUGGGAAAUAUUGCCGACGCAUAAGGCACCUCUCGCAAGGAGCCAAAUCCCUAAUUCCCCUUUCCCAUUCCCCACGCGCGCCGCCCUGGGCUCUCCGCCGCCGCCGCGCCAUUGUGCUGCUCCCGCGCGACCCUGCUGGACUGCCGCCCCACACCGCCUGCCCCCAUGCGCUCGACCCCUCUCCUCUGCCCCGGUGCUCUCCCCUGACCACAAGAACUUUGGCGUCGUCACCGUCAUGGAAUGCGGCCGGCAGAUCCCGGGGAGACAGGAUUCAACCUGCUGUAGAGGGAUGUUGCCCUGUACUAGAAGAAUGCGCCGGCCGUGGUGAAACACUCCCUAGAGGCGCUGCUGCUCGUGGUGUCCAACCCCGUUGACGUCCUCGCCGGCCUCGCCUUCAAGAUUUCAGAGUUGGGUUCCAGGCGAGCGGCGUCAUCUGCUCCGGUACCGACCUCGACGCCUCCUGGUUCUGGUUCCUCAUCAACGACCCCCGCCAUCAACGCACAGGACGUGCAGGAUUCCCAGCCCACCCCAGCAUCCCCUUCAACCCCGAACCAGUUUACUGUUGCGUCUUUGCAAUCUUACAGGUCGCCACAGUCCGUGCAACAGCUAGCAGCAGGGCCCAUUGUCAUCGUCGCGCAUCCCAGGUUCAUCUGCUUGCUGCUGUUUCGGCCAUCGCUGAAGCACCAAAGUAUAAUAAUCUUUCUUCUUCAUAGGUUGGUCGGGCAAUCUGGUGCUUAUCUGCUGGGAUUUUGAAUUGAAUAUGUGUGGAAUUUCUGGUAGCUAUGUGGAUCUAUUGGCUCCGAAAACUGAUACCCCAGUGUCUACAAUUUGUUGCCAUGUAGGCUCAAGCGUCUCUCCUUCAUCAGGUAAAAUGUCAACCUGAAAAUCGUCUAGGCAGCAGGGUACAUCCCCAAGAGGCCCAAUUGCAGAUGUUCAAGCUGGAGGAUGUUCUGCAAUGAGAUGUGGAAUGAAGGCUUUGAUGUCAAGUAUGAGAACGAUGCAAGGAUAUUGGUGGAAGGCUGUGAGGAUGGGUAUGUAGUUGCCCACUACAAGGAGCCAAGGCGGAUGAUGUGCCUCUUAGAAAAAUUCCAGUAAACAACACUAGAAAUUUUUGCUCUCAGACAAUGAACCAUAAUGUCUCCUCUAUGUCAUUAGGUAGAUUAGUUUAUAGGACACUUGGAUGGUCAUUGGUUCAUAACAUAUGCACUAUUUAUAUGUGAAAAUUAAUGGAGGUGUGUUAUUAUUGUUUGGUUCUAAUAUAUUAUUCUUGGCCGA
This is a non-coding RNA of Aegilops tauschii subsp. strangulata, 1275 nucleotides long. The record is from RefSeq and is a predicted model, not a curated record. Lineage: Eukaryota; Viridiplantae; Streptophyta; Magnoliopsida; Poales; Poaceae.